CCGUCUCAAGCAAAGAUAUAUAGGGCCGCACCCCAAACUCAAUUUUUGCUGAAGAGGCCUCCCACUACUCAACUCAACAAUACAAGAGCUCCUAAUAAUCAUCCCAGAUACUCAACAAGGGAAAAGAUAUCCUUACUAAUGGCGGGCCAGAGAAAUGACUAUGGCAAGAGAUCCCAUUCUCAGUCUGACUAUGGUGGUAAUGGAGGAAGUAAGAGAAGAAACCCUGGAGAUGACAAGGAGCAGCAUGGUAUUGGGGCAGAAGAUACUGUAUACCGUUACCUGUGCCCUGUGAGAAAGAUUGGAAGCAUCAUUGGUAGGGGUGGAGACAUUGCAAAACAACUAAGAUCUGAAACUAAAUCAAACAUUAGGAUUGGGGAAACUAUGCCAGGCUGUGAUGAACGUGUUGUCACCAUCUAUAGUUCAAGUGAGGAAACUAAUCCAUUUGGUGAUACCGGUGAGCUUGUUUCACCUGCACAAGAUGCUCUCUUCAGGGUGCAUGAUAGGAUUGUUGCUGGUGAGCUGCCUGCUGAUGAGGAACCUGAAGAGGCACAGCAAGUUACUGUUCGGAUGCUUGUGCCUUCUGAUCAGAUUGGUUGUGUUAUUGGGAAAGGUGGGCAAGUGAUUCAGAAUAUACGCAGUGAAACUCGUGCUCAGAUUCGCAUUCUAAAAGAUGAACAUCUGCCACCUUGUGCCCUUAGUUCUGAUGAGCUUCUGCAGAUAAUUGGGGAUGCAUCAGUAGUGAGAAAGGCUCUUCAUCAACUAGCAUCUCGCCUUCAUGAGAAUCCAUCACGAUCCCAGCACCUGCUGUUGUCUUCUUCCCCCAACAUGUAUCAAUCUGGUGGUACGUUCAUGACUCCAAAUAUUGAUGCCCCACUUGUGGGUGUUGCUCCAUUGAUGGGUUCUUAUGGGGGUUACAAAGGUGAUACAGGAGAUUGGUCGCACUCUUAUUACUCUGCUCGGAGGGAUGAAUCUUCUGCAAAGGAAUUCUCUCUUCGUUUGGUUUGUCCAACUGGAAAUAUUGGAGGUGUGAUUGGCAAAGGUGGCGGUAUUAUCAAACAAAUCAGACAGGAAUCUGGGGCUUCCAUUAAAGUUGAUAGUUCAAGUGCUGAAGGAGAUGAUUGUAUUAUUUUUAUAUCAGCAAAGGAGUUCUUCGAAGAUCCAUCUCCAACCAUUGAUGCAGCACUACGGUUGCAACCACGAUGCAGCGAGAAAGCUGAAAGGGAAUCUAGUGAUUCUGUGGUCACUACCCGUCUACUCGUUCCAAGCUCACGAAUUGGAUGCCUUAUUGGUAAAGGUGGGGCCAUCAUUUCUGAGAUGAGGAGUGUUACAAGAGCAAACAUCCGCAUUCUAUCUAAGGAAAAUCUUCCCAAGGUUGCAUCUGAAGAUGAUGAGAUGGUGCAGAUCACUGGAGAGCUAAAUGUUGCUAGCAAUGCCCUUUUACAAGUGACAUUGCGGUUAAAAGCUAAUUUAUUUGAAAGGGAGGGUGCAAUAGCUGCAAUUCCACCAACCCUUCCCUACCUUCCCAUGUCAGACAUGUCAGAUGGUUCAAAAUAUGGAAGCCGUGAUAGUCAACCGCGUGAACGUGGGUUUUCUUCUUAUUCAGGUGGAUAUGGUUCUAGUGAUUUGGCCCCAAGUGACAGAUAUGGGAGCUAUGGUGGUUCACAGAGUGGUGGUGGGAAUGGUUAUGGAGCAUAUAGUGGCUAUUCUUCCAGUCGAUCGGGUAGCACUGGGUUAUCUAGUCAGGGCCGUGUUUCCCAUGGGAAACAUCAUGGUUAUUAGAGUCACAGAUCCUAGGGCCUGCAGGUUAGUUUUGGAGGCCAUGCAUUGAAGGCAAAAUCAUAGUUGGUGCCAGGAAUUACCUAGUAGGAGGUUACCAUGUGCAAAUCAUUUUCAAGGGUGAUUCUUUGUGCUCAAGAUCACUGUUGGAUAUCAUCGAGAGAUUAUUGACAUGGUAAAGAAUCUGAAGAUGCUAUCAAUUCAAGUGGUCUUUUGAAUCCUUGCUUCCCUUGGCAUUAGAAGCAGGUGAGUUUUUCUAUGGCUGGUUAUGUCUGAAGUUGAGUAAGGUUUCAAAACCUGAAAUGGUCAUUGACCAAGAAAUGUGGAUCUUUUUGGCAACUAAGAGAGAAGGCAACCAAAAGAAAAAAAAAAAGCUUGAAAAAGGAAAAAUGAGAAGAAUAUCUGGAGGUAUGUCCCAAAAGGGAACUUAUAAGGAGAAAUAAAACUCAGCACUGAUGCAAUAUACCACCUGCAAGUUGAGAUAAAAAGCAAAGGAGAAAAAGGAAGGAAAAUUUAGAGGUGUGUCCAAAAAUGAAACUUACAUAGAGAAGGAAAUUUGAUGGUUUCAGACCCAAUGAGUUAAAAACAACAAAUUGCAGAUGGUUAAUUAUUUUUUUCUUUUACCUAAUUUUCUUAAUAUUGGUACAGAAACCGGGAAGAGUGACCAUUUUUUUUUUCAUGGAACAAACCAAAACAAAGAACUAAAAUACAAACUAGCAAAAUCAGUAUAGCAUUUGAUGUUUGCUUGCAUGAAUGUGAACCUCAAAUUAAGUGUUAUAAUAAUCUCCAAACUGGGAAAAAUAAUGAGGAAAAAUGUUUUUAAAUGUGAUCUCUUUGAAUAAUGUUUAUAUAAAAGUUGUUCUGACAUUUCUGUAUUUGUAACCUUGUAAUAGUUUGUUAUUUUUUCUUCUGAAACUUGGUUUUCUUGGCACCUGUUGGCCGUGUCAAUUCAUAGUUGAAUGGGCUUUCAAAAGUGACAUUACAGUCUAGAAAAACAAGAAUCUCUGGAUCAAAUGGUUCCUUAGUAGAGUUUCCCAGAAAAGGAUGAUGUAUAUGCAAUUUUCAACUGGAAAAGAAAAAGAGAAAGGAAAUAGUAGAUUAUGGGUAGUGCAAUCCUUGGUUGUGAGGGAUUACCUUUGAAGAGGGAUUAAAACUCCAUGGUGCAUUAUGGAGUUCAGAUUUGGCAGCUAAAGUGUAAAAUGUGUCAGCCAAAUAACUGCAUCCGCUUUGGUCGUUAUUGUUGUCACGAUCAUCCUCAUCAUCCUGCAAUGGAGCAGGACUGGUUGAAGUUCUGUAUUUUGUGUGGUUUCAACCAUCUGAUUUCUUGGUUUGUCAUUUGGCCUAGUGUUAAUUGACCUAUUGCUUGGGUUUUGAUCUGAUCCAUUGUAGAGAAGCGGCUUUCAGCUGACUGGUUUAAUGAGACACUGUUAAUUAAACCAGACACUGUUAAUGAUUCAAACAUUGAUGUAAUUGGGCUUGGGAUGAACAUGAUUGACUAUCUUAUCUGCUAAGUAUUUGUUCUUGGAGUUAUUAAUAUUAUUUUCAUUAUUAAUUUUUUUAA
Molecule: RNA transcript, 3337 nt
Organism: Vitis riparia (riverbank grape)
Lineage: Eukaryota; Viridiplantae; Streptophyta; Magnoliopsida; Vitales; Vitaceae
Gene name: RNA-binding KH domain-containing protein RCF3-like
Exons: 9
Source: RefSeq, a predicted model, not a curated record